RNAcentral lists this ribosomal RNA (402 nucleotides) under Pseudenterobacter timonensis. RNAcentral describes it as "partial 23S ribosomal RNA". It matches the Rfam family "Bacterial large subunit ribosomal RNA", at positions 140 to 580 of the family's 2925-position model. The record is from RNAcentral. Lineage: Bacteria; Pseudomonadati; Pseudomonadota; Gammaproteobacteria; Enterobacterales; Enterobacteriaceae.
UCGUUGCACUAUCGUUAGCUGAAUACAUAGGCUAACGAGGCGAACCGGGGGAACUGAAACAUCUAAGUACCCCGAGGAAAAGAAAUCAACCGAGAUUCCCCCAGUAGCGGCGAGCGAACGGGGAGCAGCCCAGAGCCUGAAUCAGCAUGUGUGUUAGUGGAACGGUCUGGAAAGGCCGGCGAUACAGGGUGACAGCCCCGUACACGAAAAUGCAUGUGCUGUGAGCUCGAUGAGUAGGGCGGGACACGUGGUAUCCUGUCUGAAUAUGGGGGGACCAUCCUCCAAGGCUAAAUACUCCUGACUGACCGAUAGUGAACCAGUACCGUGAGGGAAAGGCGAAAAGAACCCCGGCGAGGGGAGUGAAAAAGAACCUGAAACCGUGUACGUACAAGCAGUGGGAGC